RNAcentral lists this ribosomal RNA (513 nucleotides) under uncultured bacterium. RNAcentral describes it as "bacterial SSU rRNA". It matches the Rfam family "Bacterial small subunit ribosomal RNA", at positions 8 to 518 of the family's 1533-position model. The record is from RNAcentral.
AGAGUUGAUAUGGCUCAGGAUGAACGCUAGCGACAGGCUAACACAUGCAAGUCGAGGGCGAGCAUAAAAGUAGCAAUACUUGGUGGCGACCGGCGCACGGGUGAGUAACGCGUAUGCAACCUACCUAUCAGAGGGGAAUAACCCGGCGAAAGUCGGACUAAUACCGCAUAAAACAGGGGCACCGCAUGGUGAUAUUUGUUAAAGAAAUUCGCUGAUAGAUGGGCAUGCGUUCCAUUAGGUAGUUGGUGAGGUAACGGCUCACCAAGCCGACGAUGGAUAGGGAACUGAGAGGUUGGUCCCCCACACUGGUACUGAGACACGGACCAGACUCCUACGGGAGGCAGCAGUGAGGAAUAUUGGUCAAUGGGCGGGAGCCUGAACCAGCCAAGUCGCGUGAAGGAAGAAGGAUCUAUGGUUCGUAAACUUCUUUUGCAGGGGAAUAAAGUGCAGGACGUGUCCUGUUUUGUAUGUACCCUGAGAAUAAGGAUCGGCUAACUCCGUGCCAGCCGCCGC